CUUCUGUGUUCGCGUUGCUGUUUCAUGCAAUCGUGCGGAAACGAUGGUAAGCUUGCUCCCAGGCGUCGAGCGGCGGACGGGUGAGUAAUACUUAGGAAUCUACCUAGUAGUGGGGGAUAGCUCGGGGAAACUCGAAUUAAUACCGCAUACGUCCUACGGGAGAAAGCAGGGGAUCAUUAGACCUUGCGCUAUUAGAUGAGCCUAAGUCGGAUUAGCUAGAUGGUGGGGUAAAGGCCUACCAUGGCGACGAUCUGUAGCUGGUCUGAGAGGAUGAUCAGCCACACCGGGACUGAGACACGGCCCGGACUCCUACGGGAGGCAGCAGUGGGGAAUAUUGGACAAUGGGGGGAACCCUGAUCCAGCCAUGCCGCGUGUGUGAAGAAGGCCUUUUGGUUGUAAAGCACUUUAAGCAGUGAAGAAGACUCUUCGGUUAAUACCCGGGGACGAUGACAUUAGCUGCAGAAUAAGCACCGGCUAACUCUGUGCCAGCAGCCGCGGUAAUACAGAGGGUGCAAGCGUUAAUCGGAAUUACUGGGCGUAAAGCGAGCGUAGGUGGCUUGAUAAGUCAGAUGUGAAAUCCCCGGGCUUAACCUGGGAACUGCAUCUGAAACUGUUAGGCUAGAGUAGGUGAGAGGGAAGUAGAAUUUCAGGUGUAGCGGUGAAAUGCG
RNAcentral lists this ribosomal RNA (668 nucleotides) under Psychrobacter sp. MR05-78. RNAcentral describes it as "bacterial SSU rRNA". It matches the Rfam family "Bacterial small subunit ribosomal RNA", at positions 28 to 690 of the family's 1533-position model. Lineage: Bacteria; Pseudomonadati; Pseudomonadota; Gammaproteobacteria; Moraxellales; Moraxellaceae. The record is from RNAcentral.